CAUGUUCUGAGGAAUGAAAAGGCACUAUAUCUACCUCACAUCAACCUGCAAGGGAAUAAGCGUUCUGGAUGAGGAAGGAAGACUGAGCAUAGCUGCAAAGCUGGAGAAGGAACAGGACAAACCAUCCAGAUCUUCAUGCCAGAACACCUGCUUGUAGC
This is a long non-coding RNA of Hyaena hyaena (striped hyena), 158 nucleotides long. RefSeq lists it as uncharacterized. The transcript has 3 exons. The record is from RefSeq and is a predicted model, not a curated record. Lineage: Eukaryota; Metazoa; Chordata; Mammalia; Carnivora; Hyaenidae.